Molecule: long non-coding RNA, 1099 nt
Organism: Cygnus olor (mute swan)
Lineage: Eukaryota; Metazoa; Chordata; Aves; Anseriformes; Anatidae
Exons: 3
Source: RefSeq, a predicted model, not a curated record
GUGCUUGGUGCAGGCAUGCCUGUCUCCAGCCCCCCUCUGGCCGUGCCUCUAGGAUAGACACCAGCCAUGCUGUGCAGGAUUCCCCCUCCAGAGGGUGGGCAGAAAAGUGUUGUGAUGAUCCUCCUAUCUGACCCUGCCUCACCAGUCCUGCGAUGUGUGCAGAGGAGUGCCUGCCCGCAGACAGCAGCCAGUGUCACCCAAGGAUCGCAUCCCCCUUCUUGCUGAGCAUCAUGACUUUGGAUCAGAGUGUAAAUGUUGGUCCUCCAGCUAAUGAAGAAAGUCUGGGCUGAUCAAAGGGAGAUUAGUUUCUGUGUCAGCCAUCUGUCCUGCCUCUUCCUCUGUUGAUUGGUGUGACCAUAAAACAGCUGCUACAGCACAGAAGACUAGCUAAAAUGUUCCUGCAUGAUUUCUCACCACUGGAAAUAAAGUCAGCUUUGCUCUCUUGCUGUAUACUUUCAGCAGAAAGCUCGCCUCUUCCGUCAGGAAACAGAGCAUUUUAAGUGAUGUAUGGAAAUGUUUCUCACAGAGUGAGAGCAGACCAAGAAUGUGCAGAUCCUAAAAGGGUUUUCAUGCUAGAGGAGUUCUUAUUUUUAAAUAGAUUGAUCUUAAAAAUAAAUAAAUAAAUAAAUCCAGUUGGUUUUACAUGUUUGGCAUCAGAUUUCUUCUAGUAGUAGCAGCAGUAACAAGCUAUUUAAAUAACCUUUUCCCUUUGCCAGCUUUCUGUGCUGUCCUGAAGCUAGCUUAAAAAGAGUUGCUAUGGAAAUUCAACUUUGCCAGGCCAUAUGCAUGGGAUUAGAGCUUGACUAUGAAUCAAGAAACAAAAGGAACUGGAUGAAAAGUCUCUUUAUCCAAAUACACAUCUUCAGCAGUGAUCACUUCUAAUCAAAAUUCCUUCUCUGAUUUUUCUGCUUGAGGCACAAAACAGCAAGUGUGGCUGCUGUGCAAGAAGAGCUAACACGAAAUAAUUUUCCAUUGCGAUGGUACUGGGAAUAAAUAGCCUUUUUUAGGAUGGAGCUUGCUAGCUAAUGAUUCAGUUCCUGGAUUAUCUGCAUCCCUUUGUAUUUCGAUUUCUCUUAUCUCCAUAUAGAAAAUAUUUUAA